This 260-nucleotide ribosomal RNA is filed under the name uncultured bacterium. RNAcentral's name for it is "partial 16S ribosomal RNA". It matches the Rfam family "Bacterial small subunit ribosomal RNA", at positions 793 to 1055 of the family's 1533-position model. The record is from RNAcentral.
GUCCACGCCGUAAAACGAUGGAUACUAGCUGUUUGGUCGUAAGACUGAGUGGCUAAGCGAAAGUGAUAAGUAUCCCACCUGGGGGAGUACGAACGCAAGUUUGAAACUCAAAGGAAUUGACGGGGGCCCGCACAAGCGGUGGAGCAUGUGGUUUUAAUUCGAUGAUACGCGAGGAACCUUACCAGGGCUUAAAUGUGUUUUGACGGAUUUGGAAACAGAUCUUUCGCAAGACAAAAUACAAGGUGCUGCAUGGUUGUCGU